CCUGGGAUUGCCUCUGGCUGCCCAGGAACAUGCUGUGUGAUUACAGUUUGUUAUGAAAAUUUAAAACCUGCAGAACAGCUGAAAGACCUCCGCAGUGAGCACCACACGCCCACCACCUUGUGCCACCGUGACGUUUUGUUGGGUGCUGUGUCACAGUCUCUCCAACUCUCCGUCCCUCUCUCCGUCCGUCCACCCCUCUUAUUUUCGGACGCCCUCCUCAGUGCGGUGCAGGCAUCCGUGCCCGUCUAGGCCAGCACUUCCGCAUCACGUCGUUAACAGAGUUCAAUGUUUGUCACAGCUGUUUGUCUCUCUUGAGGUGAGCUUUACACACGAUGACACACGCGAAUCUCAGGUGUACCAUGUGUGAGUUCUGAUAAUGCCCGCACCCAUCGAGGGACCGAGCAUGGUGAUGACUCCAGAAAGACCCCUCAUGCCGCUUCCCAGUGAA
Molecule: long non-coding RNA, 448 nt
Filed under: Equus asinus (donkey)
Lineage: Eukaryota; Metazoa; Chordata; Mammalia; Perissodactyla; Equidae
Description: lncRNA (ENSEASG00005032364.1)
Source: RNAcentral